Molecule: ribosomal RNA, 670 nt
Filed under: uncultured Lachnospiraceae bacterium
Lineage: Bacteria; Bacillati; Bacillota; Clostridia; Lachnospirales; Lachnospiraceae
Description: bacterial SSU rRNA
Rfam family: Bacterial small subunit ribosomal RNA
Source: RNAcentral
GUCGAACGGGAAAUAUUUUAUUGAAACUUCGGUAGAUUUAAUUUAUUUCGAGUGGCGGACGGGUGAGUAACGCGUGGGUAACCUGCCUUAUACUGGGGGAUAACAGCCAGAAAUGGCUGCUAAUACCGCAUAAGCGCACAGGACCGCAUGGUCCGGUGUGAAAAACUCUGGUGGUAUAAGAUGGACCCGCGUUGGAUUAGCUAGUUGGCAGGGCAGCGGCCUACCAAGGCGACGAUCCAUAGCCGGCCUGAGAGGGUGAACGGCCACAUUGGGACUGAGACACGGCCCAGACUCCUACGGGAGGCAGCAGUGGGGAAUAUUGCACAAUGGGGGAAACCCUGAUGCAGCGACGCCGCGUGAAGGAAGAAGUAUCUCGGUAUGUAAACUUCUAUCAGCAGGGAAGAUAAUGACGGUACCUGACUAAGAAGCCCCGGCUAACUACGUGCCAGCAGCCGCGGUAAUACGUAGGGGGCAAGCGUUAUCCGGAUUUACUGGGUGUAAAGGGAGCGUAGACGGCGCAGCAAGUCUGAUGUGAAAGGCAGGGGCUUAACCCCUGGACUGCAUUGGAAACUGUUGAGCUUGAGUGCCGGAGGGGUAAGCGGAAUUCCUAGUGUAGCGGUGAAAUGCGUAGAUAUUAGGAGGACACCAGUGGCGAAGGCGGCUUACUGGA